Molecule: ribosomal RNA, 452 nt
Filed under: uncultured Spirochaetota bacterium
Lineage: Bacteria; Pseudomonadati; Spirochaetota
Description: bacterial SSU rRNA
Rfam family: Bacterial small subunit ribosomal RNA
Source: RNAcentral
GUCGAGAAUAGUCUACAAUGGUCGAAAGACUGAUAGUGCGACGCCGCGUGAACGAAGAAGCCCUUCGGGGUGUAAAGUUCUUUUAUAUGUGAGCAGUGGUUUCCAUGUGAACAGCAUGGGGACAGAGAUAUUAGCAUAUGAAUAAGCAACGGCUAACUCCGUGCCAGCAGCCGCGGUAACACGGGGGUUGCGAGCGUUGUCCGGAAUUACUAGGCGUAAAGGGCAGGUAGGCGGAUCGAUAAGUUUAAUGUUUAAGGCAACGGCUCACCCGUUGUAGGGCAUUAGAUACUGUUGAUCUGGAAUGCGGUUGGGGAAGACAGAAUUCCUGGUGUAGCGGUGGAAUGCGCAGAGAUCAGGAGGAAUACCGAAGGCGAAGGCAGUCUUCCAAGCCGUAAUUGACGCUAAACUGCGAAGGUGUGGGUAUCAAACAGGAUUAGAUACCCUUGUAGUCC